RNAcentral lists this long non-coding RNA (253 nucleotides) under Lathyrus oleraceus (garden pea). RNAcentral describes it as "Pisum sativum (pea) long non-coding RNA (PSAT_LNC021740)". Lineage: Eukaryota; Viridiplantae; Streptophyta; Magnoliopsida; Fabales; Fabaceae. The record is from RNAcentral.
GAAAAACAAGGGCCAUCAGAUCUCCCUCAUUAAUUGAAGUGGCAGAUCUGAUGGCCAUACGCGCGCUAUCCACCAUAAUCUUUAGUCAACGCGUCACAUGGUUAGUAAUCAAAAUAUAUGGCUAAGAUUAAAACAUUUCAAACAUAUCAAACGACCAGGAGACAUGACACCACAUCACUGGAGCCCUAGCUGAGGUUGUCUUCUCUGGUGGACCUCAUCGGACUAGUCCACCACCAACCACCAUGGAAAUGAA